UAAUACAAAAAAAAAAAAAGCUCUCUCUCCAACUGGCAAAGGAACACUGGCUUUUUAAGCUGCAGAAGGAGUCGGUAAUUGCAGACAGCUGUAUCCGCUGACGAGAGGGCGGGGUCAGAGCUCUAAUCUGCAAUGGGGCAGACCAAUCAGCUGCUUGGAAUCCAGGAAGCCAUCCUGAAACAUAUACACAUACAUACAAACCCACAACACAGAAACUGGGGAAUGUAACAAGUGUGAACUGUAUUACUGUGUUGUAUUAUACUGUACUAUAUGGACUGGAAUUAUGCACAUUGUUCAAACCAUGAUAAAACUGAAAGAACAUAUGAUUCUGGUGCAGCACAUGUGGCCUGCAAAGUUACAAGUAUAGGCUAGCAUAUUAUUAUUCAAAUAUUUUAUUUAUUUUUUCUCCACAAUUUUCAUCUUGUCUCAUCGCUACAACUCCCCAACGGGCUCAGGUGGUGAAGGUCGAGUCAUGAGUCCUCCAAAACAUGACCCGCGAAACCGCACUUCUUAAUGCCCACUUAACCCAGAAGCUAGCCGCACCAAUGUGUCAGAACACCGUUCAACUGACAACCGAGGUCAGCCAGCAGGUGCCCAGCCCGCCACAAUGAGUCGCUAGAGCGCAAUGAGCCAAGUAAAGCCCCCCCGGCCAAACCCUCCCCUAAUGACGCUGGGCCAAUUGUGUGCCGCCCAAUGGGACUCCUGAUCGCGUCCAGUUGUGAUACAGCCCGGGAUCGAAACCAGUGCCUUAGACUGCUGCGCCACUCGGGAGGCGCCGCAAAUUUGAUUUUAAUUUUGAAGUCAAUCACUGCAUUCUUAUUGGCAGACUCAACAGCCUUGGUUUCUCAAAUGACUGCCUCGCCUGGUUCACCAACUUCUUCUCAGAUAGAGUUCAGUGUGUCAAAUUGGAGGGCCUGUUGUCCGGACCUCUGCGGCAGUCUCUCUGGGGGUGCCACAGGGUUCAAUUCUCAGGCCGACUCUUUUCUCUGUAUAUAUCAAUGAUGUCGCUCUUGCUGCUGGUGAUUCUCUGAUCCACCUCAACGCAGACGACACCAUUCUGUAUACUUCUGGCCCUUCUUUUUAACAAACCUCCAGACGAGGUUCAAUGCCAUAGAACACUCCUUCUGUGGUCUUCAACUGCUCUUAAAUGCAUGCUCUUCAACCAAUCGCUGCCGGCACCCGCCCGCCCGACUAGCAUCACUACUCUGGACAGUUCUGACUUAGAAUAUGUGGACAACUACAAAUACCUAGGUGUCUGGUUAGACUGUAAACUCUCCUUCCAGACUCACAUUAAGCAUCUCCAAUCCAAAAUUAAAUCUAGAAUUGGCUUCCUAUUUCGCAACAACGCCUCCUUCACUCACGCUGCCAAACAUACCCUCGUAAAACUUACCAUCCUACCGAUCCUUGACUUCGGCAAUGUCAUUUACAAAAUAGCCUCCAACACUCUACUCAACAAAUUAGAUGUAGUCUAUCAUACUGCCAUCCGUUAUGUCACCAAAGCCCCAUAUACUACCCACCACUGCGACCUGUAUGCUCUCGUCGGCUGGCCCUCGCUACAUAUUCGUCGCCAAUCCCACUGGCUCCAGGUCAUCUAUAAGUCUUUGCUAGGUAAAGCCCCGCCUUAUCUCAGCUCACUGGUCACCAUUGCAACACCCACCCGUAGCACGCACUCCAGCAGGUAUAUUUCACUGGUCAUCCCCAAAGCCAACUCCUACUUUGGCCGCCUUUCCUUCAAGUUCUCUGCUGCCAAUGACAGGAACAAAUUGCAAAACUCACUGAAGCUGGAGACUUAUAUCUCCCUCACUAACUUUAAGCUUGAAAUUGAUAUUUAUUCUUUCUCUUUUGCACCCCAGUAUCUCUACUUGCACAUCAUCAUCUGCAUAUCUAUCACUCCAGCGUUAAUGCUAAACUGUAAUUAUUUCACCACUAUGGCCUAUUUAUUGCCUUACCUCCCUAAUCUUACUACAUUUGCACACACUAUAUAUCGAUUUUUGUUAUUGUGUUAUUGACUGUACGUUUGUUUUAUCCCAUGUGUAACUCUGUGUUGUUGUUUUUGUCGCACUGCUUUGCUUUAUCAUGGCCAGGUCACAGUUGUAAAUGAGAAGUUGUUCUCAACUGGCCACCUGGUUAAAUAAAGGUAAAAUAAUAAAAAUAAAUUAAAAGUAUAAUAGGGCCUAUUUGUAUUAUUGCUAGGUUUACACAUACAGUGCAUUCGGAAAGUAUUCAGACCCCUUUACUUUUUACAGCCAUUUUCUAAAAUUGAUUAAAUAAAUAAAAAUGUAUGAUCAAUCUACACACAAUACCCCAUAAUGACAAGGCAAAAAAACGUUUUUUUGAAUUUUUUCAAAUGUAUUAAAAAUAAAAAACAGAAAUACCUUAUUUACACAGGUAUUCAGACCCUUUGCCCCGAGACUCGGAAUUGGCCUCAGGUGCAUCCUGUUUCCAUUGAUUGGAGUCCACCUGUCGUAAAUUCAAUUAAUUGGACAUGAUUUGGAAAGGCACACACCUGUCUAUAUAAGGUCCCACAGUUGACAGUGCAUGUCAGAGCAAAAACCAAGCUAUGAGGUCAAAGGAAUUGUCCGUAGAGCCUUGAGACAGGAUUGUGUUGAGGCACAGAUCUGGGGAAGGGUACCAAAAUUAUUUCUGCAGCUCUGAAGGUCCCCAAGAACACAGUGGCCUCCAUCAUUCUUAAAUGGAAGAAGUGUGUAACCACCAAGACUCUUCCUAGAGCUGGCCAACCGGCCAAACUGAGCAAUCGGGGAAGAAGGGCCUUGGUCAAGGAGGUGAACAAGAAACAGAUGGUCACUCUGACAGAGCUCCUCUGUGGAGAUGGGAGAAUCUUCCAGAAAGACAACCAUCUCUGCAGCACUCCACCAAUCAGGCCUUUAUGGUAGAGUUGCCAGACAGAAGACAGUCCUCAGUAAAAAGCACGACAGCCCAUUUCAAAUUUGCUAAAAGGCACAUAAAGGACUCAGACUAUGAGAAACAAGAUUCUCUGGUAUGAUGAAACCAAGAUUGAACUCUUUGGCCUGAAUGCAAAGCGUUACGUCUGGAGGGAAACUGGCACCAUCCCUACGGUGAAGCAUGAUGGUGGCAGCAUCAUGCUGUGGGGAUGUUUAACCAUCAGCAGGGACUGGGAGACUAGUCAGGAUAGAGGGAAAGAUGAAUGGAGCAAAGUACAGAGAGAUCCUUGAUGAAAACCUGAUCCAGAGCGCUCAGGACCUCAGACUGUGGUGAACAGGACAACCAAUCAAUCAAAUGUAUUUAUAAAGCCCUUCUUACAUCAGCUGAUGUCACAAAGUGCUGUACAGAAACCCAGCCUAAAACCCCAAACAGCAAGUAAUGCAGGUGUAGAAGCACGUUUGCUAGGAAAAACUCCCUAGAAAGGCCAGAACCUAGGAAGAAACCUAGAGAGGAACCAGGCUAUGAGGGUUGGCCAGUCCUCUUCUGGCUGUGCCGGGUGGAGAUCAUAACAGAACAUGGCCAAGAUAUUCAAAUGUUCAUAGAUGACCAGCAGGGUCAAAUAAUAAUAAUCACAGUGGUUGUAGAGGGUGCAACAGGCCAGCACCUCAGGAGUAAAUAUCAGUUGGCUUUUCAUAGCCGAUCAUUCAGAGUAUCUCUACCGCUCCUGCUGUCUCCAGAGAGUUCAAAACAGCAGGUCUGGGACAGGUAGGCACGUCCGGUGAACAGGUCAGGGUUCCAUAGGCAGAACAGUUGAAACUGGAGCAGCAGCACGACCAGGUGGACUGGGGACAGCAAGGAGACAUCAGGCCAGGUAGUCCUGAGGCAUGGUCCUAGGGCUCAGGUCCUCCGAAAGAAAGAAAGAAAGAAAGAAAGAAAGAAAGAAAGAAAGAAAGAAAGAAAGAAAGAAAGAAAGAAAGAAAGAAAGAAAGAAAGAAAGAAAGAAAGAAAGAAAGAAAGAAAAAGAGAGAGCAUACUUAAAUUCACAUGACACUGGAUAAGACAGGAGAAAUACUCCAGAUAUAACAGCCCCCCGACACAAACUAUUGCAGCAUAAAUACUGGAGGCUGAGACAAGAGGGGUCGGGAGACACUGGGGCCCCGUCCGAUGAUACCCCCGGACAGGGCCAAACAGGCAGGAUAUAACCCCACCCACUUUGCCAAAGCACAACCCCCACACCACUAGAGGGAUAUCUCCAACCACCAACUUACCAUCCUGAGACAAGGCCGAGUAUAGCCCACGAAGAUCUCCCCCACAGCACAACCCAAGGGGGGGAGCCAACCCGGACAGGAAGAUCACGCCAGUGACUCAACCCACUCAAGUGACGCACCCCUCCUAGGGACGGCAUGGAAGAGCACCAGUAAGCCAGUGACUAAGCCCCUGUAAUAGGGUUUGAGGCAGAGAAUCCCAGUGGAUCGAGGGGAACCGGCCAGGCAGAGACAGCAAGGGCGGUUCGUUGCGCCAGUGCCUUUUCGUUCACCUUCACACUCCUGUGCCAGACUACACUCAAUCAUAAGACCUACUGAAGAGAUGAGGACCAAAUCGGAAAGAUAGGUAGGUGCAAGCCCAUGUAAUGCUUUGUAGGUGAGCAGUAAAACCUUGAAAUCAGCCCUUGCCUUAACAGGAAGCCAGUGUAGAGGCUAGCACUGGAGUAAUAUGAUCAAAUCUUUUGGUUCUAGUCAAGAUUCUAGCAGCCGUGUUAAGCACUAACUGAAGUUUAUUUAUUGCUUUAUCUGAGUAGCCGGAAAGCAUUGCAGUAGUCUAACCUAGCAGUGACAAAAGCAUGGAUUAAUUUUCUGCAUACUUUUUGGACAGAAAGUUUCUGAUUUUUGCAAUGCUACGUAGAUGGAAAAAAUAUAUCCUUGAAACAGUCUGAUAUGUUCAUCAAAAGAGAGAUCAGGGUUCAGAGUAACGCCGAAGUCCUUCACAGUUUUAUUUGAGAGGACUGUACAACCAUCAAGAUUAAUUGUGGUUGGCAGCUGCAGAUAGGUAUUUGGGUGUGCGAGACUUGACAUCAGAAGAGUUACAGGGUGGUGAUGUCCCAUCCUUUCAGGUUGUUGGCCUGAGGUAGGAAUAAAUAGAUUUAAAUAGUGGAGUAGGGUGGUGUUAUUUAUAAUUUUUUGUGCAGUGUUAGACGGAAGGGAUUUUUUUAUUAAUUUUUUUCAAGCAAAGUAUAAGGGAGUUGUACUCCAGUAUAGCAGGUGACGGUAAUGCAACAUAUAUUGGAUGCCAACCGCCGUUAAAACUCAUCGAUGAAGAAGCUACAGGGUCGACUCCACCCAAAAUCUGUCCGCGCAGAUUAAGCGAAGUAAGGUGUUUUUCUUUUUGUAUGGGGGCAAUAGGAGAGUGUUACAUUUGGUCAAGAUAAAAGGGAAUUGCUAUUUGAUAGGUGAGGCUUAUUUGAUCGAAGCUAAAUAAUGCUUAGGUUGUUACAAGUGUAUUGGUAUGUGUCUAUAAAAUAUCAUUAACUAGACCGUUUCCUCCUGAUCUCGCCUUUGCAGACUUGUAUUUCCAUUGUUAGAGCGGACAGUCGACCAUCUUGUCAAUUAUAUUAGGUCUUCUUUGAUUAAGCAUAGGGAGAGCCUGCAUUUGCGUGCGCAGCUGUGACGUCGGGCCAACGAAUCCCAAGACCGGAGGACCCGGUUUGCGCUGUCGGCGUGCAUUUGUGUGUUACUGGAAACAUGUCGGCAAGGAUUGUGCACACCGGAAGAUCAAUGAAAUCCACCAAAACCUAAAGAACCAGUGCAAUUUCACAAUUUAAAAGAAUUUGACAUAGUCCUGGACCCUUUUCUACGGUUGUGUUACCUCUGACUCGCGUUUUAGCCUAUUCAGUGGUAGAAGUAUCCAAAACGAAUGGUGGAAGUCGAAUAGAGUCUCAAAGUAGGCUAGGCGGAGAGGAGAGUGAAGGGCUCGGCAGGUAGAGACGAGCGCUCGCUUUUGAGGAAUGUUAUCCGUACUCUCCUAUGGAAGACUGGUUGCGAGGGCUGUCCUAGGCGGACUCUCUCAAACUGAUGGUCGGGACUACAGCCUGGUCACAGCUAGUUGUGGGUUUGGGAAAGACUUUCGUAAGGGGAUAUUGAAGAAAGGGAUGUGCUACGGGGAUGACGCUUGUUUCAUUGCCCGGCAUAGGUCCGCCGAUGUAUUGGGUAAGUCUCACUUUAAUAUUCAAAUUAUCUGUUCGGUAAAGAUACCGUUAAAGUAGUCUAGUCGUUUAUUAUAAGAAAACAAAAGCCACCGUGAAAUGUGCAAGGUAUUUUGGGGAAUAAUAGGCCUAUAGCAUUUCCCACAUUUAACCUUCAAUGUGUAGCCUAGCAUGUGUCGCCAACCCAUGUCACGAAAACGAGGAUAUUCCUUACCUGAUUUAACCUCGUCUUAAAAGUUGUUAGUGUUUUCCGAUGUUUGCGUUCUACGGUAGAUUACAGCUGUGGUCUGUAGGCCUAUAAACUACCGAGAAACAUUGUGCCUGGGUUUACAAAAAAUGUAUACUUUGUUGAAGAGUAAUUGUAAAGACCUUUCACCUAGACGUAUGGACAGGCCCUCUUACCAGCGCUACUAGUGGCGAUAGUGUGAACAUGUACACAGUGAUAAUGUAUACACAGCUAUUUCAUGGCGUGACAAAUGUGGAAGUCGCACGUUGAUUGUGGCUAUAAAUUGUUAGUCUAUGAAUUGUUCCGCCAUUCGAUGCUAAGAACAAUAAGGUUCGUUGGAGGAGUUCAACAAAAUGUAUAAUUCUGUUAUGACAGCCUAUACCUUCAUAUUCAUUAGCCUUAGCCUACUUUGUUGUGGAUUUUACACACAUUUCACACACGCCUAGGGGAAACUCACUGUCCGGUGUUUUCUAAAGGUCAGAAUGGUUGAACAUGGAGGCAGCCAUGUUUCCAGGACCAAUUCACGUCUUAGACUGACGAGGGGGAAGUGCAUUGUCGUUUUACCAGUUCAUAGAAAAUAUCCGCCCAUAUCAUUAUCAAGUUCUUAUUUACCAGAUGUCACACAUUCAGAACGGUGCCUAAAGCAGGUUUGCACCACUGAGAUAUAAUAAAACCUGGAGAAUACGUCCACGAUGUCCGCCCGUUGUUUUCAAGGUGUGGCGGAUGGUGUAGGUGGAUGGAGGGACUACGGGGUGGACCCGUCCCAGUUCUCUGCCACCCUGAUGAGGACGUGUGAGCGGCUGGUGAAGGAGGGCCGCUUCACCCCCAGCAGCCCUGUGGGGAUCCUCACGUCAGGCUACUACGAGCUCCUACAGAACAAAGUACCCCUGCUAGGGAGCAGCACAGCCUGUAUCGUGGUUUUGGACCGACGAAGCCAUCAACUGCACACGUGUAAUCUAGGUGACUCAGGUUUCCUGGUGGUGCGAGGGGGAGAAGUUGUGCACCGCUCGGACGAACAGCAGCACUACUUCAACACCCCUUUUCAGCUGUCCAUUGCUCCCCCAGGUGCAGAGGGAGUGGUACUCAGUGACAGCCCUGAGGCCGCUGACAGCUCCUCCUUCGACGUCCAGCUGGGUGACAUCAUCCUGACUGCCUCGGAUGGCCUCUUCGACAACAUGCCCGACUACAUGAUCCUGCAAGAGCUCAAAAAGCUCAAGAGUACCAACUAUGACAGCAUCCAGCAGACCGCACAGAGCAUUGCAAAGCAAGCCCAUGAACUGGCCUAUGACCCCAACUACAUGUCCCCUUUCGCCCAGUUUGCUUGUGACAAUGGCCUGAAUGUAAGAGGGGGGAAGCCUGAUGACAUCACGGUGCUGCUGUCCAUUGUGGCAGAAUACACAGACUAAGUGUGUGUGAUGUUUAUUGGAACUGUUCACUUCCUUCCCUCUGUCAGUCUUCCACCUGGCUCCUUCUCAAAUGCAUUGCUUCCUGUCGGACAGAUUGGGUCGCCCCCCCCCAUCAUCCCUUCACUGACCUUUCCAUCUCACAGCCACAAAUUAGAACACGUACUCCUCACCACAGAAUUGGGCUCCAUCUCUAUUCUUCCAUUUUGUUUUGGUACUGUAGUGAGGAGGCAGGCUGCAAGGACUUUCUCAUGUUGAUCAUGAUGCAGAACGGAAUGUUGGUUCUUCACAUUCAGACUACGACUGAAUGGCAGUCCUGAGUGUAGGCGAGUUUGCUUUUGCAGGGAGUUGUGCUCGGUAGCCCUGAAACAAGCAGUGGUGUAAUAAACCAAGUAAGCCAUGCUUUGGAGUUGUUGGGGAGAUAUGGUUGUGUUGCCUAUACAUUUUGAUUGUCUGUCUGUGUUGUAGCUGUGUGACUAUCUGUUCCAAGUCGUCUGUGUGUGUGGAUGAAUUCUAAGACUGUGGAAUUGAGAGGAGCUGGGUUGUUGUGGGGUUUAGAGAGGUUACAGUGACUUGUGAUCAGAAAGGAUGUAGAUCAGCGUGUCAGGGUCUUGGAUUAGGAUAAAGGGGUAGCUGGCCAGUAUAAUGUACUAGCUAAGCUAGCAGAGAUCUCUCCAGAGUGCCACCUAUAGGCUAGUCUGAACUGUUCUGCUGGUGCGCACUUCCUCAUGGGUUUGUAAAUAGUGUGUGUCGUAACAAGGCAGAGAGUGUCUUCACUUUGUCACUGAUAAGGAUGGUUAUCCUGCUGUUGUGCCAGAUGUGUACACAGGCAUUCACAAUCUAUAAAGGGUUGAACCUUGAAGUAAAUACUCUCAAUCCCUCCCUUCCAUGGGCCGAAAGAACCACGAUGUUGACAUGUUCAUACCAUGAUCAUGUUUGACUUGGUAGUAGUGUGCCAGGGCCAUGAAAUGAUUGUGUGCGUGUAAAAAGUGUGUGUAGGUUCUUGUUUGAAUGUCUGUUGUUGAUAUGUGUUAACUUGCAAUGCUAAUGGUAGCAUCUAGGAAUGCUUUCAACCGAAACAGCUAGGUCAGGUAUGAAUUAUUAAACAAAGUUUUAUUUUUAUAACUUAAUGUUAUUAGUUUGAUAGCCAUUGAUGUGACAGUUGAAAUGUCAUCCAACAUAUGGAUUCACCCUGUGAUUCUUUUGUGAAGCUAUAUUUUCCUCCAUGGAUGGCAAAUAAGAAUCAUGCCAUCUUACUAUUAAGCAAGAAUCAGUCUCUGUGUGGUGGGUGUCAUCUCAAAAUAGUUUUUGUUCUGUCUCCCAAUAACAAUUUACCUGCUGCUUUUAUUUUGUCAAUUAAAUGUGUUUAAUACUGUACAUUAUUUAUGUAUAUAUAUAUAUAUAUAUAUAUAUGUGUGUGUGUGUGUGUGUGUGCAAUUUCAUUAUUUCAUGAAAGCUAGAAGUUGAUCUUCCUGUUCUGGUCUUAGCAUGCUUUUGGUUCUUCUUCAUAAUAGCAGAAUACACACCCGUCUGCAUUGUUAGCCAAUGUUUGCUCUGUUAUGAAGCCAGCGUACCAAAGAGGAAAACGUAUUUUCUUUCAUGAUUUCAUUUGGGUUUGGAGAAAUAUCUGCACCUAUACUGUAACAUAAAAUGUAUUUUAAAAUUGAGAGCAUAUCAGUUUGACAGUUAAACCGUCAUUCUGCUUGUGGAGAACGAUGGCCACUCAUAUUUUCGGUGCAAAACAGUCAGAAGACCACUUAGAUGUCUUUUUAGAAGUGCCUAAAAUGCAAUGUGACCAGAACGGGUUUGAUCGUGUGUGUGGCUCUAGUUAUGUGACAGGUAGUAUAUGAGAAACAAACAACAAUGCAGGUUUUUGAAUCCUUAAAGAAACCAAAGAAGGAAAGCCAUAGCUUCACAAGCAUGACCAGGGUACAGCUUCUUAUCUAAACCCUGCAGUCAGGCUAACAGUGUAAUGGAGACCAAUGUUGUCACUAUUGAUCUAGCUUAUUUUAGCAUACAAAUAAUUGAAAAGAACAUCAAUUGUUACAUUAUGUUUGUGGAGUAAAUACUAUUUAAAUUUGGUUUAAGUAUUUUUUUUUGGUAGCCUUUGAGACUUAAUUUCAUGAAUUUCAUCUGUCCUAUGCAUUCUGUCUUUGCAUGUCAAGCUGUCUUUGUCCAAGCUAUUUGUACUAUUGGAAUUUGCUUACCUGCAAAUGUGCCCCUGUCACACACAGCUUGCCUCGCCUCCAAAUGUCUGUCUGAUUAGCUCACCUUCAUUUUAAGGUUGUCUUUCAAACACUUAAACAUGCAAUUUUAGUAACACAACUCUCAUUUUUUUUUACUCUUUUUGACAGUGAGGGUUCAGUAUGUGUUAAUGAAUAAUUAGCUUAAUACCUGAUCUGAUUUUGAGAUGAAGUCAUCCUCUAUGUUUAAGGACACUUUUCUGUUACAUGUGCUGAACCAGGAAGGGCAGGGCAGGUUGUAGUGCUGUUUAUUGAUAAUGGUGAGGACCGAUUCCGCCUUAACAAAUAGAUCUGUACCAUCCUAUCAAGAGGCCUUGUCUGGCAAUGCAAGCCAGUCUCGUUUCGACUUGUAUGUUGCUCAGUGUUCAAUUAUGUCCCUCUCCUCUUUUUCUGUCCAUUCUGAGUUUUUCGGUGGUGCUUCUGCAGUCAAGACAAUUAUUUUUUUUUCUCUAGCAAGCAAUGUUUCAGUAUGAAAGCUACAUGCGUGUUAAGUGUAAUAAUGCAGAACUAGUUUCUGUAAAUAUGUUUUCAAAGUUGUAAAAUAUUCAAAUAAAGAAUCUAGUAUUUGUACUAAAAUACAUG
This 10557-nucleotide long non-coding RNA is filed under the name Salmo salar (Atlantic salmon). RNAcentral's name for it is "lncRNA (ENSSSAG00000101809.1)". Lineage: Eukaryota; Metazoa; Chordata; Actinopteri; Salmoniformes; Salmonidae. The record is from RNAcentral.